AGUGAACGCUGGCGGUAGGCCUAACACAUGCAAGUCGAACGGCAGCACAGUAAGAGCUUGCUCUUACGGGUGGCGGGUGGCGGACGGGUGAGGAAUACAUCGGAAUCUACUUUUUCGUGGGGGAUAACGUAGGGAAACUUACGCUAAUACCGCAUACGACCUACGGGUGAAAGCAGGGGAUCUUCGGACCUUGCGCGAUUGAAUGAGCCGAUGCCGGAUUAGCUAGUUGGCGGGGUAAAGGCCCACCAAGGCGACGAUCCGUAGCUGGUCUGAGAGGAUGAUCAGCCACACUGGAACUGAGACACGGUCCAGACUCCUACGGGAGGCGGCAGUGGGGAAUAUUGGACAAUGGGCGCAAGCCUGAUCCAGCCAUACCGCGUGGGUGAAGAAGGCCUUCGGGUUGUAAAGCCCUUUUGUUGGGAAAGAAAAGCAGCAGGUUAAUACCCCGCUGUUCUGACGGUACCCAAAGAAUAAGCACCGGCUAACUUCGUG
Molecule: ribosomal RNA, 492 nt
Filed under: uncultured bacterium
Lineage: Bacteria
Description: partial 16S ribosomal RNA
Rfam family: Bacterial small subunit ribosomal RNA
Source: RNAcentral